This 253-nucleotide ribosomal RNA is filed under the name uncultured bacterium. RNAcentral describes it as "partial 16S ribosomal RNA". It matches the Rfam family "Bacterial small subunit ribosomal RNA", at positions 524 to 776 of the family's 1533-position model. The record is from RNAcentral.
UACAGGGGGUGCAAACGUUGCUCGGAAUUAUUGGGCGUAAAGCGCGCGUAGGCGGCUACUUAAGUCGGAUGUGAAAGCCCUUGGCUCAACUGAGGAAGUGCACCCGAAACUGAGUGGCUUGAGUACUAAAGAGGGUCGCGGAAUUCCCGGUGUAGAGGUGAAAUUCGUAGAUAUCGGGAGGAACACCAGUGGCGAAGGCGGCUCACUGGCCCGGUACUGACGCUGAGGUGCGAAAGCGUGGGGAGCAAACAGG